GACGAACGCUGGCGGCGUGCUUAACACAUGCAAGUCGAACGGAAAGGCCCUGCUUUUGUGGGGUGCUCGAGUGGCGAACGGGUGAGUAACACGUGAGUAACCUGCCCUUGACUUUGGGAUAACUUCAGGAAACUGGGGCUAAUACCGGAUAGGAGCUCCUGCUGCAUGGUGGGGGUUGGAAAGUUUCGGCGGUUGGGGAUGGACUCGCGGCUUAUCAGCUUGUUGGUGGGGUAGUGGCUUACCAAGGCUUUGACGGGUAGCCGGCCUGAGAGGGUGACCGGCCACAUUGGGACUGAGAUACGGCCCAGACUCCUACGGGAGGCAGCAGUGGGGAAUAGUGCACAAUGGGCGGAAGCCUGAUGCAGCAACGCCGCGUGCUGGAUGACGGCCUUCGGGUUGUAAACCGCUUUCGCCUGUGACGAAGCGUGAGUGACGGUAAUGGGUAGAGAAGCACCGGCUAACUACGUG
RNAcentral lists this ribosomal RNA (468 nucleotides) under uncultured bacterium. RNAcentral describes it as "partial 16S ribosomal RNA". It matches the Rfam family "Bacterial small subunit ribosomal RNA", at positions 28 to 507 of the family's 1533-position model. The record is from RNAcentral.